This 252-nucleotide ribosomal RNA is filed under the name uncultured Lactobacillus sp. RNAcentral describes it as "partial 16S ribosomal RNA". It matches the Rfam family "Bacterial small subunit ribosomal RNA", at positions 119 to 354 of the family's 1533-position model. Lineage: Bacteria; Bacillati; Bacillota; Bacilli; Lactobacillales; Lactobacillaceae. The record is from RNAcentral.
GGGUAACCUCGACCCAAGAGAGUCGGGAAUAACCACCGUAGGAAACAGAUGACUAACUACCGGAUAACAACAGAUGAUGCCUAUCAACUGUUUAAAAGAUGGUUCUGCUAUCACUCUUGGAUGGACCUGCGGUGCAUUAGCUAGUUGGUAGGGUAACGGCCUACCAAGGCGAUGAUGCAUAGCCGAGUUGAGAGACUGAUCGGCCACAUUGGGACUGAGACACGGCCCAAACUCCUACGGGAGGCAGCAGGU